AGCCUUCUGUAUUCGUGCUGAGAUUUCGUCAGGGAUCAACCCGUUGGUGUUGGCUGAUGGUACUUCCUAAAUAAGUGAAGCG
This is a non-coding RNA of Trichobilharzia regenti, 82 nucleotides long. NCBI's taxonomy places the organism in Eukaryota, Metazoa, Platyhelminthes, Trematoda, Strigeidida, Schistosomatidae. The record is from Rfam.